RNAcentral lists this small RNA (125 nucleotides) under Marmota monax (woodchuck). The record is from RNAcentral. Lineage: Eukaryota; Metazoa; Chordata; Mammalia; Rodentia; Sciuridae.
GCUGGGUGCGGUGGCACAUGCCUGUAAUCCCAGUGGCUCGGGAGGCUGAGACAGGAGGAUCUCGAGUUCAAAGUCAGCCUCAGCAACAGAAAGGUGUUAAGCAACUCAGUGGGACCCUGUCUCUA